RNAcentral lists this small nuclear RNA (292 nucleotides) under Fukomys damarensis (Damara mole-rat). Its description in RNAcentral is "7SK RNA". It matches the Rfam family "7SK RNA". Rfam says of the family: 7SK was discovered as an abundant small nuclear RNA in the mid-70s but a possible function has only recently been suggested. Two independent studies have found that 7SK RNA binds the CDK9/cyclin T complex (known as elongation factor P-TEFb). The record is from Rfam by way of RNAcentral. Lineage: Eukaryota; Metazoa; Chordata; Mammalia; Rodentia; Bathyergidae.
GGAUGCAAGGGUAAUCUAAUGGCAACAUCUGUCAUCCAUGGUUGAUAUGGUUGAUCUGGCUGGCUAGACAGUGUCCCCUUCCUCCCUCACUGCUCCAUGUGUGUCCCUUUUGAAGUUGAGUGCUUGGCGGAAGAGGACAACCACUUUCCAUAAAGGAGGACUAUUUCCUCAGUCAAGGGUAUAAGAGUAGCUGCACUCCCCUGCUAGAACCUCCAAACAAGCUCAGUAAAUGUUUGUUGACCAUUAUGCAGCGAUAUUAAUACUUAACUCAAGGAAUACAUACCCAUUAAAU